AGCUCAGCUGGGAGAGCGUCGCCCUUACAAGGCGAAUGUCGGGGGUUCGAUCCCCUCA
This 58-nucleotide transfer RNA is filed under the name Deltaproteobacteria bacterium. RNAcentral describes it as "tRNA-Val". It matches the Rfam family "tRNA", at positions 9 to 63 of the family's 71-position model. From Rfam's summary of the family: Transfer RNA (tRNA) molecules are approximately 80 nucleotides in length. Their secondary structure includes four short double-helical elements and three loops (D, anti-codon, and T loops). The record is from RNAcentral. Lineage: Bacteria; Pseudomonadati; Myxococcota; Myxococcia.